This 1291-nucleotide long non-coding RNA is filed under the name Coturnix japonica (Japanese quail). Its description in RNAcentral is "lncRNA (ENSCJPG00005021014.1)". Lineage: Eukaryota; Metazoa; Chordata; Aves; Galliformes; Phasianidae. The record is from RNAcentral.
AUGUGCACUGAGCUCCAGGAACGAGCUGCAACAGCACCAGCCAGCAAAACAUGCCCGAGAUUAUUUUGCCUAUUUGUUAAACUUCACUGCCAUCUGCUGCUGGAAGGGAACUCGGACCGCAGGCUGGGAAAGUUCAGGCCUCUGACCCUCACUAAGAGCAGCUCAACUAUUCUCCUGCUUAAGCUGAUUGCACCACCUCUCUGUUCCCCAGCAUGCAGCCUUGCUUCAUACACCUGCAGAAGUAAAGGCAGGACAGAAAAGUCCUAUUUGCUCGAAUAAUGCAGGAAUCAGGUGAAGACUCUAUGACUCAGACUUAAUUAGCUGUUUCACAGAUGAUACCUGAGUCAGAAAAUGCCCACUUCGUUCUCCCAGAGAUUAAUUUCUCCUGACUGUAAGAGCUACAGAUGCCCUGAGACUUUCAAAAGAAAAGAUGUGUAACAGUGCUGUCCUGAACAAAUUCCACUGUGAGUAAUUGCUCUGUGUUAGCUUGUGGUCUGCCUGUCCUUGUUUGGACCUUGCAGUGUAUUCCUACACGGAACCAGAGCUGUCCUCGUGGUCUCCAUCCUUCCCACCAGCCAGGACAGCUGCAAAGAAAUCAGAACUCUAGACUCUGGCAGGUCAGAGAUGAAGGUGAAAGUUUUAAAGCAAUUUGCUACUUUUCAGUGCAGCUUUUCUGACUACUCUCAGAUAAAAGCCUACUCUAGGCUUUUAUCAUGAAACUCCAUGAUUCUCCAUCAACAACUCAUUUUCUUCUUGGCAGCUCCUACUCCACAGUCAAAAAUGAUCCAGAACCGUGAUGGUUACUUGAGGUGUGUUAUAUUGAGAACCAUUGUGAGUUCUUAAUAAUGCCAGUCUAGUGAACAUUAGAAGAAAGAAAUUAUUAGGGCCAGAGAAGAGGAUUCUGAACAUUUUUAUUUCCAUUGUACCAAUAUGGUAGCCAUCAUGUACCAGAUAGGAAAACAAACUAGCUUUUGUAUCCAUGUCCAGGGAAGGGCUCUCCCUGGUAGCCUGAAAUUCAAAGUGGGCAGAGUUAGGAACUCUCAAAAUCAAACUUUGCAUAAAGUUUCUCCAAAAUUAAAGAAUCCAGAAUCACAGACUCAGAAAGUCAUAGAGUGGCUUGGGUUGUAAAGGGCCUUAAGGAGCAUCCAUUUCAGACCCCCUGCCGUGGGCUGGUUGCCACCCACCAGAUCAGGCUGCCCAAGGCCCCAUCCAUCAUGGCCCUGAGCACCUCCAGGCAUGUGACAUGCACAACUUUUCUGGGCAGUUUGUUCCAGUUCCUCAUCACUACCCA